AUACGGAGGGUGCAAGCGUUAAUCGGAAUUACUGGGCGUAAAGCGCGCGUAGGUGGUCAAGUCAGUCAACUGUGAAAGCCCAGGGCUCAACCUUGGAAUUGCAGCUGAUACUGCUCGACUCGAGUAUGGUAGAGGGGUGUGGAAUUUCCUGUGUAGCGGUGAAAUGCGUAGAUAUAGGAAGGAACACCAGUGGCGAAGGCGACACCCUGGACCAAUACUGACACUGAGGUGCGAAAGCGUGGGGAGCAAACAGGAUUAGAAACCCCAGUAGUCC
RNAcentral lists this ribosomal RNA (274 nucleotides) under uncultured bacterium. RNAcentral describes it as "partial 16S ribosomal RNA". It matches the Rfam family "Bacterial small subunit ribosomal RNA", at positions 523 to 796 of the family's 1533-position model. The record is from RNAcentral.